Molecule: long non-coding RNA, 1678 nt
Organism: Brassica oleracea var. oleracea
Lineage: Eukaryota; Viridiplantae; Streptophyta; Magnoliopsida; Brassicales; Brassicaceae
Exons: 11
Source: RefSeq, a predicted model, not a curated record
UAUUCACGAAAAACUCUAUGAUUGGUUUUCCUUUGUCUUUAUGUUAUCUGGAAAACGUUUUGGUAGCGAUCGUAGUAAGCAUAAGUUUCAACCAAAACGUUUUGCUUUUCUUUUGAUCAAAAAAAAAAUGCUUUGUCUUUCAAACCAUCACGUAACAACCACCACCAGGCCUUGCUGCGUUGAGACUGAUUUCCCUACAAUGUUCCAUCUCUUCUCUCCUUAUACAUCUCCACCAACGGCUUUGACUAUGUCCUUUCUCCACUGGCCGAGCUUAGUGGAAGGAACCCAGGUUCAACCAGUCUCUGGCUCUGAAUUACUCUUAGCACCUUUUCAGUGGAGCCGCGUUGCCAUGCCUUCUUCCUACAACUGAAGGGACCCCGUGUGCCAAUUAUGCCAGAUUUGUGAACCAGAUCUUACAAGGUCUGACUUACUUGCAGUUUUGUUAAAUGUCAUUCUACCAUGAAGUUAUGGCUGAGGGCUCCGCUGGUGAAGUCUCAUGAUUUAUGUGCUUACCGGGCGGCGUUUUCUGUUUCCUGCAAUUACAUCACAAGAGCUUUGUUACGAAUCUGGAAUACGGCAAGACUGUUAUUUUGCUACGAGAGGUAAGGUUGAGUUCUCCGGAUUCGGAUGCUGUUUGCUACAUGACUGUUAUAAGAGGCUUAUGCGAGGGGAAACAAUUGGAGAAAGCAUUGGAAUUGUUGAAUGAUAUGCAAGGCAUCCAAAAUAAGCAUUUAUAAUCUUGCUUGCAACAAGCCAUAAAUUUUUGCUGCAAAACUUUGGGGUCUUGAGUGCCUUUUUUGAGAUAAUCAGGGGAUAUCAUGCCUCCUAAUGGAGUGAUGGUUGCUAUGGAAAUUUGCACUGCCUAACGUAAAAAUAGAGGCCCCGACACUUGAGUCUGAAGCUCAAGAAUACAUAAUGAAGCCUGCUUACUUUGUUUCUCAUAAUGUGCUUUACUAACUUGAAUAUGGGAAAACCAAGCCCAUUUCAACAUCGCAAGCAUUAAGAAAAGUUAAACUCGGUGUCAAAAGCUGCAAAGAUAAAGUAAGCCAAUAUAGCAUCAUAUUUGUAUUAACUAUUUAGUUCACAUGAGAGCAUCAUAAUAAGAUGUCAAGCCAUUCUUCACUGUUAUAUCACAAUAUUUAUUUCUUUAAACGAAUAAAUUAAAACGACUACCUCUUCUAUUACGUUUUUUUCUAUUACGUUUUUCUUUUCUUUUAUUUUCUUUAUAUAUGCGACUAAAAGUAGAUCUCAUCACUACUAUGAUUCUUUUUUCGGUCAAAUCUCACUACUAUGAUUCUUUUUUGGGUCAAAUCUCACUACUAUGAUUUUAUUUCAUUUUAUAUUACUAGCUUAAUUGGGUAUUUUGUUGUUUCUUGGUGUAUAAGGGCCGGUUGCUCAAGAGAUUAAAAAUGUCCUUAAGAGAUUUGAAUUUGGGAUCUGGUCCUCUGCUUAGGGGUCAAGACAGUGUUCCAACAGUGGAUUCAAUACAAUAGAGCACAUUGGUAGACUUCUACUCUUCAGUGAUUUCUUAAGUGUUCAGAGGUUCAAAGAGUUCUCUGCUUCAAACACUUUCUCCACUGAGGAUGAACCUUACAAAGGUCUUAGUAAUCUGGUUAUCCCCUGCAGGAGAAUUAUGUUCUUACUUGGAUGAUCUGGCAAAUUUAUUGGAUAUUCAGGC